Molecule: non-coding RNA, 22 nt
Filed under: Arabidopsis thaliana (thale cress)
Lineage: Eukaryota; Viridiplantae; Streptophyta; Magnoliopsida; Brassicales; Brassicaceae
Source: RNAcentral
CUGAUGCCGUCCUAGCCGACUU